This 296-nucleotide long non-coding RNA is filed under the name Corvus moneduloides (New Caledonian crow). Its description in RNAcentral is "lncRNA (ENSCMUG00000020301.1)". Lineage: Eukaryota; Metazoa; Chordata; Aves; Passeriformes; Corvidae. The record is from RNAcentral.
GACAGGUGUCACAGGUGCCAGGUGUCACAGGUGCCAGGUGUCCUGACAGGUGUCCUGCCAGGUGUCCUGACAGGUGUCCUGCCAGGUGUCACAGGUGCCAGGUGUCCUGCCAGGUGCCAGCCCAGGUGCCAGCCCAGGUGCUGUGACACUCGCCCGCCCCCAGGCCCCCCCCGCCAGUGGAGAGGGGAGGAGAACCCCGAGUGGACGUUGGGGUUGAGGCAGGAAGGGAUCAGGGACGGAACCCAAAUAAACGCCGGGGUAAUGACGGUCACUGUCACCGUCAUCGUCACCAUCGU